UUUUAAAACAGCACAAUUAUAAACCGGAAAUUCACCAGUUUCUCACUGUUUUUUUUUUUUUUGUCUUUUCUACUUUCAUGUUCAGGCUUUUGAUACAUUUUUACUUUCACUUCUGCGGACGAGGUGGAUCUAAAGCACCACGUCCCAAGCUCUUCAGUUCAUUUGCUCCCACCUUUCAGCAAAGACAAGAGGCAAUCAGUGAAGGACGGCCAGGAUGGGGAAUAUAUUUUCCAGCUCUAGCACUCCAACUCCAACUCCAACUCCAACCAAAGCAGCAGAGUCCUCGACCAGCCGGCCAGGCCCUGCGACAGACUGGCGACCUGUCCAGGAUGUACCCCGCCUUCGCCCUUCAGUAGCCG
Long non-coding RNA from Oryzias melastigma (Indian medaka), 359 nucleotides. RefSeq lists it as uncharacterized. NCBI's taxonomy places the organism in Eukaryota, Metazoa, Chordata, Actinopteri, Beloniformes, Adrianichthyidae. The record is from RefSeq and is a predicted model, not a curated record. The transcript has 3 exons.